GUUCAUCGUCUUUGAAUUGACAUGAGGAUAUCUAUGGAAAAGUAACUAAUCUGAAAGUAAGCCAACAUAUCGUUUGUCCUUUGUGUGCUAAAGAAAAGAUUUUCUUUUCGCAUCAUGAGGAAGUAUUACAUCAAUUAAAAAAUGUUAGGAAGUUGAUUACUUGUCAUGGAAAAGUAUACCAAUGGAAAUUAUUUGUUAAAGAAGUAUAAUUCUAAGGGUUUUAAGAAUAAAUUGGUUGAACCCAAAAUCUGGAGGAAGUACCUAUAUCCAUACACAGAAUAUGCCCAUUAAAAAUACUAGUCCAAAUUUGCUUUAAUGGUAGACAAUUAUUCAAUACAAAUUAACUUUUUAAGUGACUGAAAUAUUAAAUAGUUUAGAAUAUGGUAUAACAAUGUAAAAAAAUAUUAUUUUCAGGAACGAUUAGGGCCCGAUAUAUUUGAAACUCAUGUUGGACAUAGUAUUGAGUUGGGUAGAAUAUUAUUCUACGUUAAGUGAGGGUAUCAGAUACCUAUUAUUGUACUGUAUUUUAAUAUAUACAUUAGAAUUGUUGGUUUUUU
Sitophilus oryzae (rice weevil) is the source of this 557-nucleotide long non-coding RNA. RefSeq lists it as uncharacterized. The transcript has 2 exons. The record is from RefSeq and is a predicted model, not a curated record. NCBI's taxonomy places the organism in Eukaryota, Metazoa, Arthropoda, Insecta, Coleoptera, Curculionidae.